UAGGGAAUAUUAGAAAUGGACGAAAGUCUGAUCUAGCAACACCGCGUGUGCGAUGAAGGCCUUCGGGUCGUAAAGCACUUUUUGGAAGGAAUAGGAAGGAAUGUACUUCCAGAAUAAGUCUCGGCUAACUACGUGCCAGCAGCCGCGGUAACACGUAGGAGGCAAACGUUAUCCGGAUUUACUGGGCGUAAAGCGCGUGUAGGUGGUACUGUAAGUAGGGCGUGAAAGCUCCUGGCUCAACUGGGAGAGGCCGUUCUAAACUACAGAACUAGAGGAUGGUAGAGGGGGGUGGAAUUCCAGGUGUAGCGGUGGAAUGCGCAGAUAUCUGGAGGAACACCGGUGGCGAAGGCGGCCUCCUGGGCCAUUCCUGACACUCAGACGCGAAAGCUAGGGUAGCAAACGG
RNAcentral lists this ribosomal RNA (403 nucleotides) under uncultured bacterium. Its description in RNAcentral is "bacterial SSU rRNA". It matches the Rfam family "Bacterial small subunit ribosomal RNA", at positions 355 to 775 of the family's 1533-position model. The record is from RNAcentral.